RNAcentral lists this ribosomal RNA (253 nucleotides) under uncultured bacterium. Its description in RNAcentral is "partial 16S ribosomal RNA". It matches the Rfam family "Bacterial small subunit ribosomal RNA", at positions 524 to 776 of the family's 1533-position model. The record is from RNAcentral.
UACGGAGGGAGCUAGCGUUGUUCGGAAUUACUGGGCGUAAAGCGCACGUAGGCGGAUACUUAAGUCAGGGGUGAAAUCCCGGGGCUCAACCCCGGAACUGCCUUUGAUACUGGGUAUCUCGAGUCCGGAAGAGGUGAGUGGAAUUCCGAGUGUAGAGGUGAAAUUCGUAGAUAUUCGGAGGAACACCAGUGGCGAAGGCGGCUCACUGGUCCGGUACUGACGCUGAGGUGCGAAAGCUAGGGGAGCAAACAGG